RNAcentral lists this long non-coding RNA (459 nucleotides) under Mytilus galloprovincialis (Mediterranean mussel). Lineage: Eukaryota; Metazoa; Mollusca; Bivalvia; Mytilida; Mytilidae. The record is from RNAcentral.
GUCCUUUAUAGUCAAUUUUUAACAAUUUUCAUAAAAUUUGUAAAUUUUCAUUAACAUUUUCCACUGAAACUACUGGGCCAAGUUCAUUAUAGAUAGAUAUAAUUGUAAGCAGCAAGACUGUUUAGUAAAGUAAGAUGUACAAACACAUCACUAUCACCAAAACACAAUUUUGUCAUGAAUCCAUCUGCUUCCUUUGUUUAAUAUUCACAUAGACCAAGGUGAGCGACACAGGCUCUUUAAAGCCUCUAGCUUUAAUAUAAAUGUUAGAUUCAUUGUUCUUUAGUUCAUGUAUUUUUCAUUUAAUUUUUGUACUUAAACAUCAACUUAUUCUUCUAUAUUUCAUAUAUUUUCUUUCAACUGUUGUAUUAUAUGGUAAGUGUCAGGAGUGCAACAAAAUCAGAAAAACAGGGUGUUCAUGUACCAAUUUUUUUUUUAAUUUUUUGGUAUUUGAAUAAAUGU